This is a long non-coding RNA of Quercus robur (English oak), 397 nucleotides long. RefSeq lists it as uncharacterized. The transcript is spliced from 2 exons. Lineage: Eukaryota; Viridiplantae; Streptophyta; Magnoliopsida; Fagales; Fagaceae. The record is from RefSeq and is a predicted model, not a curated record.
CCCAAACAUUUUUACGUUGGACAACUUUUUGAUUAGGAAGAAUAGGAUGGUGGAUUUGAACAAUUUGGGUUUGGAGAGUAGGGAUAAGGUUCUCGAGUCGUGUAGAAAGCUUUUGAGAUCGUCUGGGUUUCUGUUCAAGGAUCAAUGGGUGCGUGUAAUUCUAGAUGGACAGCCAGGAUUAGGCUGUGGAUAGCAGGUUGAAGAGGUGACUUUGGGGUUCGGAAAGCAAGUUGUCUCUGCCGCCGACAACACUUUUCUCUUCUGCUAUUAUCGUUGACACUCUCAAUGUAGUCAAGGUAGGGUACAUGCCCAUGUGUUUUUUUUUUUAGUUUCGGUUGGUGUGUGGAACUGUGGGGGAAAAGAAAUGAAGAAAAAGAUUGGAUUUUGAUUAUGUAAA